GCCCGGGUGGCGGAAUUGGUAGACGCGCUUGGUUCAGGUCCAAGUGUCCUUACGGUCAUAGGAGUUCAAGUCUCCUCUCGGGUA
RNAcentral lists this transfer RNA (84 nucleotides) under Treponema bryantii. It matches the Rfam family "tRNA". Rfam says of the family: Transfer RNA (tRNA) molecules are approximately 80 nucleotides in length. The record is from Rfam by way of RNAcentral. Lineage: Bacteria; Pseudomonadati; Spirochaetota; Spirochaetia; Treponematales; Treponemataceae. RNAcentral also lists the same sequence under 3 other names.